AGAGUUUGAUCAUGGCUCAGGAUGAACGCUGGCGGUCUGCUUAACACAUGCAAGUCGAACGGGCUCUUUCGGGAGCUAGUGGCGGACGGGUGAGUAACGCGUGAGAAUCUGCCAAAAGGACUGGGACAACCACUGGAAACGGUGGCUAAUACCGGAUGAGCCGCAACGUAAAAGAGGAAACUCGCCUUUUGAGGAGCUCGCGUCUGAUUAGCUAGUUGGUGAGGUAAGAGCUCACCAAGGCAUCGAUCAGUAGCUGGUCUGAGAGGAUGAUCAGCCACACUGGGACUGAGACACGGCCCAGACUCCUACGGGAGGCAGCAGUGGGGAAUUUUCCGCAAUGGGCGAAAGCCUGACGGAGCAAGACCGCGUGAGGGAGGAAGGCUCUUGGGUUGUAAACCUCUUUUGUCAGGGAAGAACACAAUGACGGUACCUGAAGAAUCAGCAUCGGCUAACUCCGUGCCAGCAGCCGCGGUAAUACGGGGGAUGCAAGCGUUAUCCGGAAUUAUUGGGCGUAAAGCGUCCGCAGGUGGCUAAUCAAGUCUGCUGUCAAAGGUUGGGGCUUAACCCCAAAAAGGCAGUGGAAACUGAGAAGCUAGAGUGCAGUAGGGGUAGAGGGAAUUCCCGGUGUAGCGGUGAAAUGCGUAGAGAUCGGGAAGAACAUCGGUGGCGAAAGCGCUCUACUGGACUGCAACUGACACUCAGGGACGAAAGCUAGGGGAGCGAAUGGGAUUAGAUACCCCAGUAGUCC
RNAcentral lists this ribosomal RNA (748 nucleotides) under uncultured cyanobacterium. RNAcentral describes it as "bacterial SSU rRNA". It matches the Rfam family "Bacterial small subunit ribosomal RNA", at positions 8 to 796 of the family's 1533-position model. The record is from RNAcentral. Lineage: Bacteria; Bacillati; Cyanobacteriota.